RNAcentral lists this long non-coding RNA (505 nucleotides) under Rattus norvegicus (Norway rat). RNAcentral's name for it is "long non-coding RNA NONRATT025901". The record is from RNAcentral. Lineage: Eukaryota; Metazoa; Chordata; Mammalia; Rodentia; Muridae.
AGCUUUCGCCCGAUGUUCAGAGUUAAAGCAUCCUGCCAACAAUUUUGGAUGGUAAAGGCGUUAAGUGUUCACAAAAGACAAAGAUGGCGAAGGAGGCGACUUGACCCCUAGUUAGAAGCUACUGCACUCUCGCUUGCUGCCCUGAUUGAUGUCGUGUCUGUGCCAGCAUCUACAUACCCACCUCAGCAAGGCGCCUCCUUCACUACUAUUUCUAGGGUUUUUUUAUUUCUACACCUUUUGCUAUCCCAAGCCUUCGUGAACUUUCAGUGGCCCUCAAACCACUUCCAUUUAAGUCAGAGGAGUAGCACUUCCUCCAGUGACCCAGCAGAGACUCAUUUGACUGGGCCUAAAAGCGCAGUACUAUGUUGACAGAACCUACCCUCCUCUGGCCAUAUGAGCAGGCUAUUCAUUUUAGUUGGUGCAUUGCCUAGGAAACACUCUGCUGUGAUGCUCUCCUGCUCUUGCAGUGGGCAUAAGCUCAAUAAAUGUCCUCUUGUCUGCUUCU